UGAAGUCGGAAUUGCUAGUAAUGGCAGGUCAGCAUACUGCCGUGAAUACGUUCCCGGGCCUUGUACACACCGCCCGUCACACCAUGAGAGUUGGAAAUACCCGAAGCCUGUGAGCUAACAGUAAUGAGGCAGCAGUCGAAGGUAGAGCCAAUGAUUGGGGUGAAGUCGUAACAAGGUAGC
This 180-nucleotide ribosomal RNA is filed under the name uncultured bacterium. RNAcentral's name for it is "partial 16S ribosomal RNA". It matches the Rfam family "Bacterial small subunit ribosomal RNA", at positions 1321 to 1500 of the family's 1533-position model. The record is from RNAcentral.